This is an RNA transcript of Mirounga angustirostris (Northern elephant seal), 2268 nucleotides long. It is a transcript of the gene named plasmalemma vesicle associated protein, with no coding region annotated. The transcript is spliced from 7 exons. The record is from RefSeq and is a predicted model, not a curated record. Lineage: Eukaryota; Metazoa; Chordata; Mammalia; Carnivora; Phocidae.
CCCCCCCCCGCCCCUGCUCCGUGGCAGGGUGAGCAGAAGGGACUGCAGCCGCCACCCAGAGCAGGCCGACCAGCUGAGCAGGGCUGCGGGCCCCCCGGGGCAGAGAUGGGCCUGGCAAUGGAGCACGGGGGUGCCUACUCGCGGGCAGGGGGCAGCCCGAGGGGCUGCUGGUACUACCUGCGCUACUUUUUCCUCUUUGUGUCGCUCAUCCAGUUCCUCAUCAUCCUGGGCCUUGUCCUCUUCAUGGUCUACGGCAACGUGCACGUGAGCACAGAGUCCAACCUGCAGGCCACCGAGCGCCGGGCCGAGGGCCUGUACAGCCAGGUCGUGGGGCUCACGGCCUCCCAGGCCAACCUGUCCAAGGAGCUCAACCUCACCUCCCGCGCCAAGGACACCAUCAUGCAGUUGCUGCUGAGUACCCGCCGUGACCUGGACCGGAUCAAUGCCAGCUUCCGCCAGUGCCAGGCUGACCGGGUGAGCUACAUGAACAACCAGCAGUACAUGGCGGCCAUCAUCUUGAGCGAGAAGCAAUGCCAAGAACAACUCAAGGGGACUAACAAGAGCUGCAAUGCCUUGCUCCUCAUGCUGAACCAGAAGGCCAAGAUGCUGGAGAUGGAGGUGGCAAAGGAGAAGGAAGUGUGCACCAGAGACAAGGAGGGGCUGGUGCUGAACAAGCGAGUGGUGGAGGAGCAGCUGAUGGAGUGCAGCAAGGCCCGGGAGCAGCUGCUGCAGGAGCGACAGCUGGCUGAGGACCGCCUGCAGAAGGUGCAGGCCCUCUGCCUCCCGCUGGACAAGGACAAGUUUGAGACGGAGCUGCGCAGCCUCUGGAGGGACUCCAUUGUCCCACGCACCCUGGACACGAUGGGCUAUAAUCUGUACCAUCCUCUAGGCGUGGACUUACCCUCCAUCCGAAGAAUCUGCGACCACAUGCCCACCCUCAUGGCCACCAAGGUGGAGGAGCUAGCCCGGAGCCUGCGGGCCGGCAUAGAGCGCGUGGCCCGCGAGAACUCGGACAUCCAGCGCCAGAAGCUAGAGGUCGAGAAGGGCCUGCGGGCCAGUCAGGAGGCCAAGGAGAAGGUGGAGAAGGAGGCCCAGGCCCGGGAGGCCAAGCUCCAGUCCGAAUGCGCCCGGCAGACACAGCUAGCCCUGGAGGAGAAGGCAGCACUGCGGAAGGAGCGAGACAGCCUGGCGAAGGAGCUGGAGGAGAAGAAGCGGGAGGCAGAGCAGCUCAAAAUGCAACUGGCCGUCAGCAACUCUGCCCUGGACACCUGCAUCAAGGCCAAGGAACUCAGACCCAGGUAUCCAAGGACGUGGAGGAGCAGGAACCUCCCUGGCACUCUGGUUCAGGGGCCCUGGCUUCUGUCAACCUCCCUCCAUCUUUCUUCCCACAGUCGCAGCCGAUGCCUAUACCAAGACCUGUGGGUCCUGUCCCCAACCCCCAGCCCAUCGACCCAGCUGGCCUGGAGGAGUUCAAGAGAAGGAUCCUGGAGUCCCAGAGGCCCCCUGCAGGCAAUGCUAUAGCUCCACCCAGACUGAGGAGGCCCACGUCCCAGUCCCACCCUCAACAAGUAGGAGUCUAAUGGGAAGGCUGAACCCCAAAAGAGCCGAAGAGUCCUUGGAGCGGCUGAGGAGGCUCCAGGCCCUGAGGACCCAGGUGUGGCCCCGCCUGGCCGGUCUGCGGACGCACAGCAGCAAGAUGCCCACGCGCAGCCUGCAGCCAGGGCCUCGGCCGGCCGAACGCCCGCGCACACGCCAGAGCGGCUGCCCUUGGCCUCCACCCCACGCCCGUCCCUCCCCACACCCCGCGACGCCCUCUGAUACUCUCACAGCCCCUCGCCAACAGACACAGCAGUGAUGUCCCAUCUGGAUGCAGUGACGUCACACACACACCUUCUGCCCAGCCCUUGCCCCAUGUCGCCCCCUUCCCAGGCGCUCACAGCAUCCCCCCAUCUGCACACCCCCAUGCUCCCGCCACAGCACCCUCCGAUUUUCUCGUCUUCCGACUCCUCACCCCCAGUGUGCGGGGCCUAGGGGAAGUGGGGACGGGAAGCCAUUAGCCUCCACUCCCCCGCACCCCCCCACCCCUGCGGGAGAGUCUCCAGGCUCCCCUGCCAGGCCGCACCCGGACCCAGAGCAAAUGUCCCCCCCUGACCCCAUCAAAGCCCGCGACCCCGCGACGGCAGCUGCCCCUUGUCCCUCUCCCCCCACACCCAGCCCUGCCUGUGGCCCAUAUAAAUGUUAGUGGCACUAAAUAAAUAUCGAAUCCUU